This 253-nucleotide ribosomal RNA is filed under the name uncultured bacterium. RNAcentral's name for it is "partial 16S ribosomal RNA". It matches the Rfam family "Archaeal small subunit ribosomal RNA", at positions 474 to 727 of the family's 1478-position model. The record is from RNAcentral.
UACCAGCACCCCGAGUGGUCGGGGCGAUUAUUGGGCCUAAAGCAUCCGUAGCCGGUCCUGCAAGUCUUCCGUUAAAUCCAGCUGCUCAACAGAUGGGCUGCGGGAGAUACUACAGGGCUAGGAGGCGGGAGAGGCAAGCGGUACUUUAUGGGUAGGGGUAAAAUCCGCUGAUCCAUAGAAGACCACCAGUGGCGAAGGCGGCUUGCCAGAACGCGCUCGACGGUGAGGGAUGAAAGCUGGGGGAGCAAACCGG